GGAAAAGUUUUUAGUUUUAAUACGAGUCUCUAGGUGCAACGGGGGUGUUGUCGUUACACCUAGAGGAUCUGCUCUCUCUGCAGUUUGACAGGACCAGGCAGUGUAUCAUCAUCAUCUGAUCAUGGCAAAGUGCAGAGGAAGCAGCAGUUGCAGAGAGAGUCUCUAGGUGUAACGGCAACGCCCCCGUUGCUCCUAGAGGCUCAUUUGCAUAUAUUAAAACAUCAUUUUCCUCAGCAAUGCGGGCACAUAUGAACAUGGAACCAACACAGAUGCCUUCAGCUGCCAAGUGCACAUGUAACGGGUCAGCCAGUCUCAUAGGUACAAAGCUGCUGACAGAUGCCCUUUAAGGAAACUGGAUAGAAUUUUUUUUUUUAAAUAUUGUGACCAUAUCAAGUUCUGCUAUAAAUCGGUCGAGCUAAAGUAACACCACAUGUUAGACUACUACUGUGUGAAUGGGAUGCAGCUAUGAUAUGAAGCCAGCUCAAAAACUCUCAGGAUGAUCGGGAGCAGGGGAAGAAAAAAAGGCACAAUGAACUUCAACUCAUUUUCUUUUUGUUUGUUUGUCUUUUAUGUGCACAAGAGUUGAAAAACGUUUUGAGCCACCUUAAAGAGAAA
Molecule: long non-coding RNA, 615 nt
Organism: Bufo bufo (common toad)
Lineage: Eukaryota; Metazoa; Chordata; Amphibia; Anura; Bufonidae
Exons: 3
Source: RefSeq, a predicted model, not a curated record